GACGAACGCUGGCGGCGUGCCUAAUACAUGCAAGUAGAACGCACAGUUUAUACCGUAGCUUGCUACACCAUAGACUGUGAGUUGCGAACGGGUGAGUAACGCGUAGGUAACCUGCCUGGUAGCGGGGGAUAACUAUUGGAAACGAUAGCUAAUACCGCAUAAUAUUGAUUAUUGCAUGAUAAUUGAUUGAAAGAUGCUAUUGCAUCACUACCAGAUGGACCUGCGUUGUAUUAGCUAGUAGGUGAGGUAACGGCUCACCUAGGCGACGAUACAUAGCCGACCUGAGAGGGUGAUCGGCCACACUGGGACUGAGACACGGCCCAGACUCCUACGGGAGGCAGCAGUGGGGAAUCUUCGGCAAUGGACGAAAGUCUGACCGAGCAACGCCGCGUGAGUGAAGAAGGUUUUCGGAUCGUAAAGCUCUGUUGUAAGAGAAGAACGGGUGUGAGAGUGGAAAGUUCACACUGUGACGGUAUCUUACCAGAAAGGGACGGCUAACUACGUG
This 505-nucleotide ribosomal RNA is filed under the name uncultured bacterium. RNAcentral's name for it is "partial 16S ribosomal RNA". It matches the Rfam family "Bacterial small subunit ribosomal RNA", at positions 28 to 507 of the family's 1533-position model. The record is from RNAcentral.